GAUAGCUUGCUUUCUUGCUGACGAGCGGCGGACGGGUGAGUAAUGUAUGGGGAUCUGCCCGAUAGAGGGGGAUAACUACUGGAAACGGUGGCUAAUACCGCAUAAUGUCUACGGACCAAAGCAGGGGCUCUUCGGACCUUGCACUAUCGGAUGAACCCAUAUGGGAUUAGCUAGUAGGUGGGGUAAAGGCUCACCUAGGCGACGAUCUCUAGCUGGUCUGAGAGGAUGAUCAGCCACACUGGGACUGAGACACGGCCCAGACUCCUACGGGAGGCAGCAGUGGGGAAUAUUGCACAAUGGGCGCAAGCCUGAUGCACCCAUGCCGCGUGUAUGAAGAAGGCCUUAGGGUUGUAAAGUACUUUCAGCGGGGAGGAAGGGGAUAAGGUUAAUACCCUUAUCAAUUGACGUUCCCCGCAGAACAAACACCGGGUAACUCCGUGCCCUCCGCCGCGGUAAUACCGAGGGUGCAAGCGUUAAUCGGAAUUACUGGGCGUAAAGCGCACGCAGGCGGUCCAUUAAGUCACAUGUGAAAGCCCCGAGCUUAACUUGGGAAUUGCAUCUGAAACUGGGUGGCUAGAGUCUUGUAGAGGGGGGUAAAAUUCCCUGUGUACCGUGGAAAUGCGUAAAAAUCUGGAGGAUUACCGGUGGCGCCGGUGGCCCCCUGGACUAUCACUGAUGUUCCUGUGCCAGAGGGUGGGGAGCCUACCGGAUUAAAUACCCUGGUAAUCCUGGUUGUAAACGAUGUCGAUUUUGAGGGUGUGGUCUUUAACCGCGCCUUCUGGAGCUAACGCGUUAAAUCGACCGCCUGGGGAGUACGGCCGCAAGGUUAAAACUCAAAUGAAUUGACGGGGGCCCGCACAAGCGGUGGAGCAUGUGGUUUAAUUCGAUGCAACGCGAAGAACCUUACCUACUCUUGACAUCCAGCGAAUCCUUUAGAGAUAGAGGAGUGCCUUCGGGAACGCUGAGACAGGUGCUGCAUGGCUGUCGUCAGCUCGUGUUGUGAAUGUUGGGUUAAGUCCCGCAACGAGCGCAACCAUUAUC
This 1041-nucleotide ribosomal RNA is filed under the name Proteus mirabilis. RNAcentral describes it as "bacterial SSU rRNA". It matches the Rfam family "Bacterial small subunit ribosomal RNA", at positions 70 to 1109 of the family's 1533-position model. Lineage: Bacteria; Pseudomonadati; Pseudomonadota; Gammaproteobacteria; Enterobacterales; Morganellaceae. The record is from RNAcentral.